AUUGAACGCUGGCGGCAGGCCUAACACAUGCAAGUCGAGCGGAUGAAGGGAGCUUGCUCCUGGAUUCAGCGGCGGACGGGUGAGUAAUGCCUAGGAAUCUGCCUGGUAGUGGGGAUAACGUCCGGAAACGGGCGCUAAUACCGCAUACGUCCUGAGGGAGAAAGGGGGGGAUCUUCGGAACUCACGCUAUCAGAUGGGCCUAGGUCGGAUUAGCUAGUUGGUGGGGUAAAGGCCUAACAAGGCGACGAUCCGUAACUGGUCUGAGAGGAUGAUCAGUCACACUGGAACUGAGACACGGUCCAGACUCCUACGGGAGGCAGCAGUGGGGAAUAUUGGACAAUGGGCGAAAGCCUGAUCCAGCCAUGCCGCGUGUGUGAAGAAGGUCUUCGGAUUGUAAAGCACUUUAAGUUGGGAGGAAGGGCAGUAAGUUAAUACCUUGCUGUUUUGACGUUACCAACAGAAUAAGCACCGGCUAACUUCGUG
Molecule: ribosomal RNA, 483 nt
Filed under: uncultured bacterium
Lineage: Bacteria
Description: partial 16S ribosomal RNA
Rfam family: Bacterial small subunit ribosomal RNA
Source: RNAcentral